UACGGAAGGCAGCAGUGGGGAAUAUUGCACAAUGGGCGCAAGCCUGAUGCAGCCAUGCCGCGUGUAUGAAGAAGGCCUUCGGGUUGUAAAGUACUUUCAGUCGUGAGGAAGGUGUUAAGGUUAAUAACCUUAGCAAUUGACGUUAGCGACAGAAGAAGCACCGGCUAACUCCGUGCCAGCAGCCGCGGUAAUACGGAGGGUGCGAGCGUUAAUCGGAAUUACUGGGCGUAAAGGGCACGCAGGCGGUUAAUUAAGUUGGAUGUGAAAUCCCCGGGCUUAACCUGGGAAUGGCAUUCAAGACUGGUUAGCUAGAGUCUUGUAGAGGGGGUAGAAUUCCAUGUGUAGCGGUGAAAUGCGUAGAGAUGUGGAGGAAUACCGGUGCGAAGGCGGCCCCUGGACAAGCUGACGCUCAUGUGCGAAAGCGUGGGGAGCAAACGAGGAUUAGAUA
This 448-nucleotide ribosomal RNA is filed under the name uncultured bacterium. RNAcentral's name for it is "bacterial SSU rRNA". It matches the Rfam family "Bacterial small subunit ribosomal RNA", at positions 340 to 784 of the family's 1533-position model. The record is from RNAcentral.